This 1383-nucleotide ribosomal RNA is filed under the name uncultured prokaryote. RNAcentral's name for it is "partial 16S ribosomal RNA". It matches the Rfam family "Bacterial small subunit ribosomal RNA". The record is from RNAcentral.
GUCGAACGGCAGCGGGUCGUAGCAAUACGAUGCCGGCGAGUGGCGCACGGGUGCGUAACACGUAUGCAAUCUACCUCAAACCGGGACAUAACAUUGAGAAAUCGAUGCUAAUAUCCCAUAACACUAUGAUGUGGCAUCACAAUAUAGUUAAAGCUCCGGCGGGUUAAGAUGGGCAUGCGUACCAUUAGCUUGUUGGUGAGGUAACGGCUCACCAAGGCAACGAUGGCUAGGGGGCCUGAGAGGGUGAUCCCCCACACUGGUACUGAGAUACGGACCAGACUCCUACGGGAGGCAGCAGUAGGGAAUAUUGGUCAAUGGAGGAGACUCUGAACCAGCCAUGCCGCGUGCAGGAAGACGGCCUUAUGGGUUGUAAACUGCUUUUAUAUGGGAAGAAACUCCACUACGUGUAGUGGACUGACGGUACCAUACGAAUAAGGAUCGGCUAACUCCGUGCCAGCAGCCGCGGUAAUACGGAGGAUCCAAGCGUUAUCCGGAUUUAUUGGGUUUAAAGGGUACGCAGGCGGGCUAAUAAGUCAGUGGUGAAAUCUCUCGGCUCAACCGAGAAACUGCCUUUGAUACUGUUAUUCUUGAGUUCAGAUGAGGUGGGCGGAAUGUGACAUGUAGCGGUGAAAUGCAUAGAUAUGUCACAGAACACCGAUCGCGAAGGCAGCUCACUAAGCUGUAACUGACGCUCAGGCACGAAAGCGUGGGGAGCAAACAGGAUUAGAUACCCUGGUAGUCCACGCCGUAAACGAUGAUUACUCGAUGUUGGCAAUAUACCGUCAGCGUCCAAGCGAAAGCGUUAAGUAAUCCACCUGGGGAGUACGAUCGCAAGAUUGAAACUCAAAGGAAUUGACGGGGGCCCGCACAAGCGGAGUAGCAUGUGGUUUAAUUCGAUGAUACGCGAGGAACCUUACCUGGGCUCAAACGUAGAGUGACCAUCUGUGAAAGCAGAUUUUCCUUCGGGACAGUCUACGAGGUGCUGCAUGGUUGUCGUCAGAUCGUGCAGUGAGGUCUAGGGUUAAGUCAUAUAACGAGCGCAACCCCUAUCGUUAGUUGCUAGCAGGUCAAGCUGAGGACUCUAACGAGACUGCCGGUGUAAACCUAGAGGAAGGUGGGGAUGACGUCAAAUCAGCACGGCCCUUACGUCCAGGGCUACACACGUGUUACAAUGGCCGAUACAGAGGGCAGCUACCUGGUGACAGGAUGCAAAUCUCGAAAGUCGGUCUCAGUUCGGAUCGGAGUCUGCAACUCGACUCCGUGAAGGUGGAUUCGCUAGUAAUCGCGUAUCAGCAAUGACGCGGUGAAUACGUUCCCGGGCCUUGUACACACCGCCCGUCAAGACAUGGGAGUUGGGGGGACCUGAAGUCGAUCACCGCAAGG